CGCGGACCGAGACAGGGCCUUUUCCGAUGGUGGAAUAGCUAACGCGACAGUAGCAGCCUUCUGUGGAGAAAUUCGGAGAUUUGAUAUUGAGAGAUUCGAGACUGUGAACCCUGGUGAGCUGGAAUUCCCCUUGCUGCGCGUGGUGCUUAGCAUGACCUGCAGCUCCAGAUUGAUGCUCAGUGGAUUCAGAAUUUUUGAAGACAAGGAUCUUCCAGGAUGGUCUCCAGAGUCUUUGCUGCUGACCCCGACCAGCCAUAAGUGGGUGCUGGUGAAGCCUGCUUAAACACUGCAGUAAAGGUCCCUCUCUAUCUCCCUACACAUCCACCAACCACUGGAACACAUCUCCAAAGUUCUGCAGGGCCAGCUCAGCUUCCCCUCAGAAGAAGUGCCGCCACCUGCCAGAUGAAGGAGCCUUUUGAGAGGCAGCUGGCAUCGUGAUUGGACUGUACUUUGGUCUGUUCCAAUCCAGCUUCAGCUCCAGAGACGGCAGGCGGGACGAGUCAACGGAGGCCGGAUGGACGAAGGCAUGCAGCUGAGUACAAUCCAGAAAACAACAGAGGAGGAGUGCAGCGGCCCAGAGCCAGAACAACCAGAGUAGCAUCGUCUCUUAGAAAACAUCAUAGUAUAGCCUUUGGUAUGACAAAACGCCAUCAUAUACAUCGUAUAUUGUACAAAUAACAAGUCAAAGAAAAGAGACAUACAUUGUAGAAUUAUAGUAAUUGUGGGCUGACUGAUUUACUGAUUAUCAGUAUUUUAUUUUUUACUGAUUUAUGGUAAUAAAUCAAUUUAAAAAUAGUGCUACUUUGGCUCUGAACCUUUAUCUACCUGUGGUCGCUCUGUCUUCUGGAGUGAUUUGAUUGGUUAUACAUCACGAAUAAAACUCCUUUAACUUAACAUCUGUAAACAAAACAAAAAUGUAUCAACAAAGUUUUCUGUUAGAGUUUUUGUUCUUCUAAGUUUAAAUCCAAGAUUUUAAAUACUUUCGUUUACUGCAAAUGAAUAUCUACUCCAAAUGUCUCACUAAUAAUCAUUAUCAGCCUUAAAAACCCACAAAACACCCCUCUAUACUCGACCACACUUAGUACAGUCUAGUUUCCCCUUCUAUAAAUCUGCUUGGAAUCGUCCACUUCCUGUUUGUCAAAGUGGCCUUCUACCUGGACAGGUUUUGUUGGAGCACAUGCAUCAAACAUUUUGGGUAACUGCACUUUAAUAUGGAUGGAUGACACUGAAUUAGAGUCUGUUUUAAUGAGAUUGAGUUAAGAUGUGUAGCUCUGUCAUUAAAUAGGAAAUUAUUUCUCAGAAUUCACAGAGAAAAGUGAAAUGUUUGCUAGGUUAGCAUCCCACAUGUUCUUUGGCUCAGCUAAAGCUAACUCUCUCCAACUUCUGGAUCUCUUGAGUUGCUUGUUAAAAUAUCUUGCUGGAGGUGCUGAAGUUCAGAAAGUCUGAGAUGUUUGUUCAAAAUAAGCUCAUUCUCAGGUCUUAUCUGAACUGUCCUCUUUUGUUUGUACUUUCCCUAAACUUAGGAGUUAAUGACAGAGCAGCACAUCCAGACUCAGUCUCAUUUAUGUAGAGAUUAAACUUCAUUGUCAUUCAUUGAUGUUAAAGUGCAGUUUUUCAAAUGUUUGUUGCACAUGCUCCCGACCAAACCAGUCCAGGUAGAAGAUGAUGUGAAGAGAAAGCUCCAGAGGAUGAAUAUCGCACAUUUAUGUUGGAAAUAAAUGUCCUUUCAUUAGACAUUGUCAUGCAAAAGUUGGAUUUCCCUUUAAUGAUGUUCAAAUCUUUGUUGAGUGUUUUGUUGAUGUUGGUUUCUAAAUGUUUUUUGACACUCGGCCCCAAGGAUUUAAACCUUUUACGGCUCACCAGCUGCCACAAUUCACACAUUAUCAACUAUCUUUCUGACAAAACUAAGAUAAAAAGUGAAAAACUGUCUGAUUCCUGCAUCAUGAAUGUAAAUCUUUUUGGUUUUUAUGACAGUAAACUGAAUAUAUUUGGGUUUGACAUUUUAUAAACCAAAACAAGAAAUGAAUUAGUGGAGAAAACAAUCAACAGAGUAAUGGACAAAGAAAAUGUGUUUUCCAACAUAUAUGGCUGAAUUACUCCAACAUUACAAGAUACAUACAAUUUUAAUAUAAUUUUAUUUAUAUAAUGCCAAUUACAGGUCAGAUUGUCUCAAGAUGCUUUAUUUUUAUUUAUUUUUUUGUCAUAUUUAAAAUAUGACAAAGUAAGAAAUUUAAACCUCUUGACUAAUCCAAUGUAUUAUUUGGUUUUUAAGAGACUAAUCGACAACUAAAAUAACUUUCUCCACUAAAACUAAUAAACAUUAGGUCAAAUAGAAGGAACAGUUUUAAAUACUGCGGUCCCACGACGACAAGAAUAAAGUUUCUCAACAAAAACUAAA
This is a long non-coding RNA of Amphiprion ocellaris (clown anemonefish), 2398 nucleotides long. RefSeq lists it as uncharacterized. Lineage: Eukaryota; Metazoa; Chordata; Actinopteri; Pomacentridae. The record is from RefSeq and is a predicted model, not a curated record. The transcript is spliced from 4 exons.